GUGCUGGCCGAAGCUGCACUUCUUCAUCACAAAUUCCCUGCUGGGUGCGUGGUGAGAGGAGGGAAGGGAUGCGCAUCAAAGAGAGCCAAAACCUGGGAAAGCAGCUGAUAACAGAGGAUCCUGAUGAGACCUGAAACCUGAAGGGAGAUCAAAGGCCGGGCAGAGGUCGGAAACUGGAGGGGAAGGACUGAGCCAGCAAAAGAGAAAGGUGAAGAGAAAGGGUUAAACCAGUGCACAGCAGCAAACCCCAGGUCUGAUGCUACAAGAACCAGAGGUCCAUGAGAACCAACAGGCCCCAGUGGUGAGGCCAGGCUCACACAGGAGCCCAGAGCUGCCCUCCCUGCAAUCCCCCAGCUCAGUGGCUCUGGAAGGGAGCGACCCUAAACCUCCCACAAGGCCACAGCUGCCACUUGCACUCCUCAUCCUCUCCCUUCCUCCCUGCCAUUCCCAGCUCCGACAGUUUUGCAGAGCUCCAGUUGUCUCCUACCCUUGCUGCCUGCAUUCAUCACACACAGCACAUUGCCAGAGCGUCUUUCCCUUUGCCAGAGCAUCUUUCCCAGGAGGGAUGAACUGUGCCAGCAGAGUGGCAGCACGAAGCCAUCUCGGCCCUGGGCCAGGGAGAAAAGCUCCUCUCAAGCUGCCUUUGGGAGCAGGAGCAUGAGGAUGUCUGGAUGGGAGACUUUGGGAGGAGCAUGAGACACCUCGGCCCUACUGAGCAGUAAAGGAGAGUCCUGUCUUUCCCUCAUCACUUAGAAAAAGCUACAGAACAGUGUUGCUCAUGGACAGACAAGAAAAAUGCAUCAGGACUAAUGACUGAACACACACUUUUAGCUCCUGUCUCAGCUCUAAUGUAAGAGCAGCCUCUUUGCCAAUGGCUCUGGGGUUUUUCACUCAAAUAAUCACGUUUAAGCCUUCUUGGUUAGCAGAUAUUCAGCUACAGAUAAAUGGCUGGAGCUACAUGAAACUCUUAUUCAUGUCUUCUCUGUGCCUUAAAACCAUGAUUAGAGCUGUGAUCCUUGCUGUGGAUUCAAGGGAAGAAAUGGAAGAGCAAAGCGGAGAGGACUGUAAGGUUGCCUUUGCCUGUGCAGCUGCUGAGGUCAGUGCACACCCACAGCGUGGACAGUGCUUGGUUUCAGUUUUGGAAGUGCUUGGCCACACCAGCCCGGGGCUCCACCCCAGUUCAGCCCUGUGCUGGGAGCACUGGUGUCACAGCAGCAGUGCCACGGGGGCACAGGGUCCUGGUGCCCACAGGGCAGGGCCACCCUCAGCUCCUCCACAGAGUCACUGAGUGGGCAGGGCUGGGAAGGGGAUCUGGAGAUCUUCCAGUCCAAGCCUCUGCUGAAGCAGGUUGGCACUCACCUGCCAGCUGCAGCAGGUGACCAGAGGGUUUAGGGGGCAGUGCCCCUUUUCCUCAUCACCUGUAUCUCCAUCUCCCCCCAUUUUCUACACAAAUGCUGCGGAAAUGUCCAGCUCUGCCCCUUUCCCCUCUGGAACUGCAGCCCCUCCUGCCCCUGGCAGAUCUGCAGAGUCACAGGAUGCUCUGGUAACUCUCCCUGGUGUUUGAGGCACGGUCUGAGCAGGUCAUGCCAAGAGGAAAGCCUCCAGGAGCUGGACACGUGUCGCAGGCACACGGGACAGAUGAUUUCUGGCUGGCACUCCACGGUGCCUGGCACAGCCCCUGCGCUGGGAACCACGUGCUGCUUGAAGCAGCCAGGCAAAUGAGGCUCUGGCAAAAAGCACAGCUGGGAUGGCAGCAACAGCAACUGCUGAGGAGCACGGGGGAUGUGAGCCAGAGCACAGGAGCCCUGCACAUCUCUGCCUCAAGACUACAGCCCGCUGACCCCCACCUCUGCUUCAGGCCCUGCCUCCCUGCUGCUUCCCCCAGAGUCAUAAAGGGCAUUGGAAAGGAGCAUGGCUCUGGCAGUGCCAGAUCCAUGUGUGCAGGUCUGAGCCCUUGAAAAGGAGUGUGAGCUGUUCCAGCAGAGUCCUCCUCACCAAGGCUGGGACAUACUCUCUGCCCACCAUGCCACAGUCACCAUGCCUCUGCACAAGCCACCACCUGCCCCCUCUGCUCCCUCGGGCAACUUUUCUGCCUCUCCCCUCCGAUGGGGCUGUUCAAAGCUGGCCAGCAUGGGCUGCACUAGCUCAGCAGCCUCCUGCGGCUCCGGCUCCACUGCCUCCAUUAUCAGCUCUUGUUUUGGAAUACGAAACACUCAAAUAAAAAAUACAGAAAUCCGUGUCGCAACUCCUGGGGCCAGGCUGCCUCCCCAGAACCACAGCCUGGCCAGCACCAACCCACCUCCCAUCCAUGCAGACCAGCUCCAUUUCCUCCAGGAAGGUCCUGGCAGCCGGGCAGGUGCUGUGCUGCCUGCUGAGGCUGGGAGCUGGCUGGGCUGUGAAGGCACCCACAGCCAGCAUCUGGAGGGGUCAGCCUGGCUGGCUUCACCCUCAGCAGCAAAACACUCACACCCCAUCAGCCCCAGGGACUGCUGCUGGUAUUUCUGGGUUAGUGUUUGCAAAAUGCCAGCAGCCCUGGGAAACACAACAGCGAAGGUUUCAACCCCAGCCGACAGAAAUGGGGUAGGGAAAAGGAAAACAAGGGUUUGGUGACAGGGUGCAAAGUGUCCCAAUGCACAGUCAAGCUCUGAGGAGGGAUUCUGGCAGAGGUAUUUUUGUAUUUUUGUACAGUUCAAGUGGAAUAAGAGGAAGAUACAGAAAUAGAUUGGGAAGGGGAGGCAGGGAGAAGGAAGAGGGGAAGGGCCAGGGCGAGCUGUGCUGUUGGGGUCUCACUGCAUCACCAGGCAGGUUCAUCCAGGAGUCAGUCCUGAUUUCUCCUGAACCAGUGGGGAACCACAGAGGUGGCAGUGAGGAAUGGUCAAACCUGAAGGCACUCCAGCAGAGCCUGCCAUGAAACCAGGGAGGUGUUGAAUGCAAAGGAGCAGAAAUGGGAGGUUUAAAGGCCCUGCUCAUGUUGCAUAGCCCCUUCCUCCACCUGCAAGCUGUUAAUGUCUUUAAGGAGGGAAGCAAGCCAAGGAGCUGGGAAUGGGAUGGAGGUUGGUGCUGUGCAGGCAGGAGUGCUGUAAUGGGGAUAAGUGGCGAGCUUGGCAGUGCUGUGUUAGACCUGAUGUCCUUAGAGGUCUUUUCCAACCUGAGAAACUCUGUGAUGGUGCCAGGGAGGAGCAGGGAGGCAGCCAAGGCUGAGACAGCAGCCAGGCAUUUGCAAGUGGUCCCUGAGUAGCCACAUUGCAGCUGGGUCUCAACCAUGGGCACAGGUUAUGGGGCAGGGAUAGCUGUGGGACAGCUGUGGGACAGCAUAUCCGUGUGGCUGCAGGUGAGCCUGGCCCUGUCUGUGCCUGCCCAGCCCAUGCCAGGAUCCCUCAGCCUGAGCCCCAGGGCGUUUGAUGGAUUCCCAACACGCCCGGGUGGCACGGGAGGAAAUGGCUGCUCUGGAAAUCCGUAGCAGUGCGGAAAGAGAUUAUUGAAAUGAUAGUAAUAAAAAAAAAAUAUAUAAUAAUUAGAAUUACAAAUGAGGCUUUCGAGGGGCAGCUGUUAUCCACGCUGCUCACGUGCUCGCUUUGCACAGCUGCACAGGCAGAGAGAGGUAGCUGACAGCAGGUACUUUUAAUCUUCUCUUUCCGUUCCCAGCACCUGCUUUUUAAAGCCACUGAACAGCCAGAAAAAAAGCUAAAAGAUGAUGGCUAAAUAUAUCCUAACUAAGAGGAGAGACAGAGCAGCGCUAAUGGCAGAUCCUUCCUUGGAUGCAUUCAAAUUGGUUUGGCUUGGAGACAGGCUAAGGGAAGAAGCAGCAGAUGAAGAGGAAAAACAGUAGAAGAAGGGAUUUAGAGGGUAAAAAAAGGGGGGAUAGAAAGAAGCCAGAGGGACUGAUAAGUUCCACUACACCCAUUCCCAGAGGAAAACAAGCCCAUUUAAUUUUUGCUUUUAAAUGCAACCCCGUGCAGAACAGACACUCACCUUUCGCAGGGAGAGCGGGUCAUGCUCCAGGCAAGGCGAGAGCCCUCAGAGUGCCCAGGGCCAGAGCAGAUCCAGGUCACUGCCUUUCCUGCAGGCCAGCCCUGCUCAGGAGAUGCUCAGCCCUUCCUCACUGAAGCCCCACAGGGUUUCUGCAGUAAAUCUCUCACCAUGCAAUUUCCCACUAAAACCUGGCCUUGCCUCAACUGCCCUGCUCUCUGCCCCUGUUAACACCUCCCUUCCCCCUUUGUUACCCAGGACUGUCCUCAGCUGCUGCCUGACCCUUCCCCAGCAAUCCCAGCCCCCUCCAGCCCCCCCAAACUGGCCCAUGGUGGUGACUCUCACCCUGCUCCUGCUCAUCCCUCCCUGGUUUAUCCCAUAAGGAUGAGGCAGGCUGAGCCCUGGGUGUGAGCUGCCUGCUGGAGCACAGGGUUGCUUUUUAUGGUCUGGAGAUAGCUCUUCAUUUGUUGUUUGCUCUUCGUGACCUGAUCAUGCUCGAUCCAUCCACACUGCUCCCUUUUCCCAGGAGCUUGUGCAUCCCCCACUGCUGCUCCUGGUGCAGGGAGCAGGCUCAGCACUUGUUUCCACCUCUGGCCAUGAUGGGUUUGGGAUUUGGGGCAGGGAAUCCAUCACAGGCAUCAGUGGGGUGAACUCAGAGAAGGACAGCAGUGUGCUGCUGGAAGGCUCUUGGGAUUUUCCUUCCUUGCAGGUCCUACUGACACAUUUCUGACUCAUCUCCCCCAACUGGACCUCCGGGAAGCCUGGUUCUAAAUUGCUCCAGCUGAGCCAUCGACAGGUCAGAACCAACACGGCCCCACUCUGCUGCCCCAUCCAGCGUGUCUGCACCAGUGAAACCACAGGGAGAGGAAACAGCUUCUCCAGUCUCCUCCUCAGCAAUUUGGCUGGGAGACACCCCUCCAUCCCCAGGAUUGCAGUUUUUCAGACACUCAGGCAGAGAACAAAUCGUCUCAGGCUGUUUAUUAGGUCCUCAGGGUGUCUGUACAGAACGGGUGUAGCACUGCACGAGGUGGUGACACAGCUCUGGGGUAUCAUUGCUGGCAGGAUUUGUGGCUUCUCCAGCCUCUCAGGGAAGGGGAGCCCAGCAAACAAGCAGCUAAUGCAGAGGGAACCCAGGGAGCCAAGCCCACACCGUUCCCUGAGCAGGAAGGGAUCAGAGUAAAGAGCCCAAAUUGCCCCUGCCCAGCAGGACAUCAUGAAAAUAAAAAUGUGGCAGAGGGAAGAACUUCUGAGCUGUUCUUUCUACCUGGUGGCUUUCCUCUGAGUUCACUGCGUGCAGCAGAGCCAUCCUCAGUCUCUUCUGAGCCACCCACGGGUUUAUUUCCAGAGGAAUGAGACAUAUUUGUUAUUUCAAGCAGCCUCACUGGGCACUUGGGCUUGUGGUCAGGUCCUCUAAGGGACACUGCCACCCCACCAAGGUGGAGGUGCCAAGGAGCUUAAGGACAAAUCUGAGCUCUGAUUUGGGUAACCCACAGAGCAGUUGGGGGGAAAGGUUAUGAGAAGAUGAGCUCUCCAAUCGUGGUUUUUAAGGAAGAGGGAUCCAGGGUGUGCUUGUACCCUGCUCUCUCCAUGCCAGGAGUCCCACACAGGUCUGCAGGAGGAAACACAGCACAAGGUGCCUCCUUCCCCUCAGUGCUUUUCAGCUGCAGGCACUGACAGAGCAACGUGAAGACAUUUCUCUCAGGAUAACGCUGUUAUCUACCCUGGGAAUGCAGAGCUGAGCAGCUCCUCAUCCCUCAUGUUUCAGAGCCAGCCUGGGGCACACAGCACGUGAGGCAAACUGGGAGCAGUGGGGCUACUUGAGGCAAACAAUUCACAGCACAGCUGGUCCCCAGAGCUCCCUGGUCCCUCCAGAAGCAGGCACUGCCUUUUCCCCGGUGCCUUUUUGCCAGGAAGGUUGGAUGUUUUUGGUAACAAGCUCAUCCCCCUCUGCCACCUCCCUCCCACAGCCUCAGUUCCCUGAACUCCCGCUGAGUUCACGGCGGUCCCAGAUUCACAUCCUCCUGUAAAGCCAGGAGGAGGCACAGAGCACAAUGACUGACUUUGCCGAGCAAAUACAACCCACACACCUUUAUUGAGACUAUUUUGAUAAACCAGAGAGCCACGGGGGUGCCCAGCUGGGAGUGACCCCAGCACGGCUGCCCUCUACCCUAGCCAGCCCCAGGCACGAGCACUGCGUGUGCAGCGUGCAGGGAAGAAGGAGAAAAAGAAGGAAGACAAAAGACUUGGGGACAAGACGAGCCUCUGCAAAGCCCAAGGGGUGCGUGGUAGAGAGAAGCAUUCUGGUCUAGCAGCAAAAUGAACUUUAAUUCCAGUUCUGGGAUAUAAUGCUACGAUGCUGGAGAGAGCACAGCACCAAGGAAGGCGACAACUGCAGCAGCCCCAGGGAUGAAAGAUAAUGCAGAGAUGAUGUGAAACAUUUUGUUCUUAUAUAACAGGCAGGGAUGAGCUCGUAGGAGCUUUACAGGGGCAGUAGGAGGCGUGUAGGAGGGAGAUGGCAUGACCAGAGGCAAGUGUCUGGGGAAGGGAAAGGCAAAGAAGAGAGGAGGGAUGGAGGGGGAUGGAGGAGACACAAAUCGAGGGAGGUUAGGGGAGUCCCAGGCUCAGAGAGAUGAGGACAAACAGUGCUGGUGGACAGGAAGGUUUGGAGUGCUUCAAGGAGGAGGAAGAGGAGGAGGGAAGACAACCAGGAUGGGACAGGGAAGGAGAGAGGAGUUUGGAGGGAGAAGCCAGAGGCCCCCAGGGAGGGGAGAGCUUGCACUGACGGGUGAGAGGCACUCCAGGACUGGCAUGAGGUAUGCUUUGCUAUUGCUCUGAAUGCUGUAAACAUUUUGGUUUUGUGUCUAUCAGUGAACAUUCAGUUCAGUUUGAUACAUGUGCUCUUAGGGGUAACUGGAAGCCUAGCAGAGUUUUACAUCUCUCACUACUACUCAGACUUAUACACGAGGCAAACACAACACUGGCUAAAGAUCUCAGUUUAUGUCGUUUAUGCCUAAUUCUCCUAUUUUAACAUGCACAUCUAUGUCUCAGAAAAGCUUCUCUAGUACAGGACACUAAAUAAGAUACAGAUGAAGUCACAUGCACUCUCAUCCACCCACACCCCCAGACACUCACAGCAAUUUCCUCCUCCCCUGCUUAGACUGGCAAGACUUUGCCCUUCACACCUCCCCAGUAUGGACAACAGGGACCCCUUGGUGCAUUAAUGAGUCCCCUAAAAUCAUCCCAAGCCUGGCUGAUGGACCAAAGCAGGAGAAACUUUAGACAGGUGAGAGUUCUGCAUCUGACCCUGGAGUUAACACCACCUGAAGCUCAUAGAGAAGGGAAAGGAAAUUUGUAAACUCUUUCCCUUCUGCCAUCAAACUAUCUGGGAGCUGACUGGAUAUGUGCCAGCAAACAGAAUAAAAAGAACUGAGUGAACCAAUUUCUUUCCCCUCUCUUCACGUGAUGGCACACUUUAAUGCUGCUCCAAACAGGAGGAAAAUUUUGGAGGUGUGUGCUUGAGGAGAGGGGAAAUGGGUUUGUAGGUUGUGAAUAUCCCUUUCACACCAGGAAGAGAUGAAUCAAGGAUAGGGUAUUCGUCCUUGGUGGGGAUUAGUCACCACUCAGCUCUUUCCAAAGCUUUGGCUCAGUCAUUAUUUCCUUGAUCAGCCCCUGGUUUAAGGGGUAGAGCUACAAGCUGCUUAUUUUGAUUCACUUCAGAAUGGCAUUUGUCAUAAAAGAAGCAGCUGGUGCCAUUUUCUUGUUUAAGAAAAAUAGAAUUUUACUUUAAAUAACUAGUCUGCUUUCCUUCCAGAGAGACAAAACUACAGGAGCAGCAACACAAAUAACCGUGGUAGACUCACAUGCCUCAGACAAUACUUUUGCUCCAUUCUGUG
Prinia subflava (tawny-flanked prinia) is the source of this 7862-nucleotide long non-coding RNA. RefSeq lists it as uncharacterized. The transcript is spliced from 3 exons. The record is from RefSeq and is a predicted model, not a curated record. Lineage: Eukaryota; Metazoa; Chordata; Aves; Passeriformes; Cisticolidae.